This 596-nucleotide ribosomal RNA is filed under the name uncultured fungus. RNAcentral's name for it is "eukaryotic LSU rRNA". The stretch from base 159 to 312 matches the Rfam family "5.8S ribosomal RNA". The record is from RNAcentral. Lineage: Eukaryota; Fungi.
UCCGUAGGUGAACCUGCGGAAGGAUCAUUAAAAAAACGGGGAGGCGUGUUCACGUUCCUUUUGGAAUCGGGACGCGGCUCCUUUUAGUAUCCAAAUUCAUUAUUUUUGUUUCGGAAUCCGGCUAUCGCAUGCUCGAUUCCCAAAUCGAAUAACAACAAAACUUUCAACAAUGGAUCUCUUGGCUCUUGCAUCGAUGAAGAACGCAGUGAAGUGCGAUAUGUAGUGUGAAUUGCAGAAUUCCGUGAAUCAUCGAAUCUUUGAACGCAAAUUGCACUCUCUGGUAUUCCGGAGAGUAUGCCUAUUUGAGGGUCAUUUAAACGUAAAUUCUAAAUUUCUUAGAAAAAAAUGGGUCUUCCAGAUUUUAUGGUUACCUAAAAUGCAAGACAUGCUCAUCUUUUUGGGUUACGUGAUACGUGUUAUUCGUGACUUUCCGAUAAAGAUGCAGGCGUGUUGGAAUUUUGUAAGAACGAAUUGAAUUUGUUCGCAAAAUAGAAUCAAUUGAAUCUUGACCUCAAAUUAGGUAGGAGUACCCGCCGAACUUAAGCAUAUCAAUAAGCGGAGGAAGUCGACUGCCAAGGGGCACACAGGGGGGGAUA